Molecule: long non-coding RNA, 209 nt
Filed under: Lathyrus oleraceus (garden pea)
Lineage: Eukaryota; Viridiplantae; Streptophyta; Magnoliopsida; Fabales; Fabaceae
Description: Pisum sativum (pea) long non-coding RNA (PSAT_LNC033434)
Source: RNAcentral
GUAAUGUCUAAUCUUUACAUUAUGAGUUCUUUAAGUACUAUGAGAGGCUAAACCCCCUGAUGCUAGGGGAGUGGUCCUGAUGUUAUCGCAUGCUAUGAAUUUGAACAAAUGAUUUCUUGAUUACUAUGUUACUUAUUUCAAUUCAAUUGUGUGAUGUUAUUAUGCUUUUGUAUCGGACAAAUACAAAUUGAUCUAUGACUUUCAAUAAC